Molecule: RNA transcript, 7445 nt
Organism: Camponotus floridanus (Florida carpenter ant)
Lineage: Eukaryota; Metazoa; Arthropoda; Insecta; Hymenoptera; Formicidae
Gene: rudimentary
Gene name: CAD protein
Exons: 27
Source: RefSeq, a predicted model, not a curated record
CUCGCGACGCACGCAAUGUGUCGGCAGCACGUGUGUAGGAAACACGCGACAAAAAUUAAAAAUGCCCGGUUAUUCAUCCAUUGGGCUCAAUGGCGUGAGCGAUAGUUAUCUUCUUUUAGAAGAUGGUAGCAUAUUUUUGGGAAAACACUUUGGUGCCGAUGUAUCCGUUGAUGGUGAAAUUGUCUUCCAGACUGGUAUGGUCGGUUAUUCAGAAUCACUCACGGAUCCUUCUUAUCAUGCUCAAAUUCUGGUGCUAACAUAUCCGCUUAUAGGAAAUUAUGGUGUUUUUGGUAAUGAAAAGGAUGAGAAUGAUAUACCAUACUGGUUCGAGUCUCAUCGCAUUUGGGCCGCGGGUCUAGUAGUCGGAGAAAUUUGUGAAAAGCCUAGUCAUUGGCGACAAACUAAGACGCUAUCCACAUGGAUGAAAGAACAAAAUGUACCUGGAAUAUGUGAGAUUGACACACGAGCAUUGACAAAAAUUAUUCGCGAGAAAGGUACUAUAUUGGGCAGAAUAAUUUUUGGUCAACCACCAUUAAUGACUCUGCCAAUAAUGCCUCCAAUAGAAGAUCCCAAUAAGAGAAAUCUUGUUGCGGAAGUUUCUUGGCCGACCUCAAAUGUAUAUCCAAUAUAUAAUCCGAAUGGAUAUCCUCGUAUAUGCGUGGUUGAUUGUGGAUUAAAAUAUAAUCAACUGAGAUGUCUAUUAAGACGUGGUGCUCGUGUGGACGUUGUGCCAUGGAACUAUAAUUUGAGUGUUACCGAAUAUGACGGUUUAUUUCUUAGCAAUGGUCCGGGCGAUCCCAGCAUGUGUCAAGUAACAAUAAAAAAUAUCCGAAUAGUUCUCACGCAGAAGAAGAGAACACCUAUUUUUGGCAUAUGUCUUGGACAUCAAUUACUAUCCAUAGCCGCUGGUUGUGUUACAUAUAAAAUGAACUAUGGCAAUCGAGGUCACAAUCAACCGGCGACGCAUCAUAGUACCGGACGUUGUUACAUGACUUCGCAAAAUCACGGAUUUUGCGUCGAUGCGGCCCAAUUACCAUCCGAUUGGGAGGUGCUCUUUACUAACACUAAUGACAAUAGCAAUGAGGGUAUAGUUCAUUCAAAUCUGCCAUAUUUCUCCGUUCAAUUUCAUCCGGAACAUACAGCAGGGCCCGAGGAUCUCGAAUGUCUCUUCGAUGUAUUUUUGGAAAGCGUGAAGGAUGAAAUUGAGGGUCAUCCUUGGAUCUCUAUAAAAGAUAGGCUCACUCAAAAGCUAAUUUAUGAAUCUCCGGUUCUAAUUACACUCGAACCUCGACCUAAGAAAGUGUUAAUUUUGGGCUCGGGAGGACUCAGCAUUGGUCAAGCUGGAGAAUUCGAUUAUUCAGGCUCGCAGGCAAUAAAAGCAUUAAAAGAAGAAUCGAUACAAACUCUUUUGAUAAAUCCUAAUAUCGCCACGGUACAAACAUCAAAAGGCAUGGCCGAUAAAGUGUAUUUCUUGCCAAUUAUACCAGAAUACGUCGAGCAGGUAAUACGAUCAGAAAGACCGGAUGGCGUAUUAUUAACAUUUGGUGGACAAACCGCCCUCAACUGCGGCGUAGAACUUGAAAGAAAUGGUGUGUUUGAAAAGUACAAUGUUAAAAUUCUAGGGACGCCAAUCGAAUCCAUCAUACAAACUGAAGAUAGAAAGAUAUUUGCAGAUCGUAUCAGUGAGAUAAAUGAAAGAGUCGCACCAAGUGCUGCCGUAUAUUCUGUUCAAGAGGCAUUAGAAGCCGCUGAAAAACUGGGUUAUCCCGUAAUGGCGCGCGCUGCGUUCUCGCUCGGUGGUCUCGGAUCAGGUUUUGCUAAUACAAAAGAAGAGCUGAAAAUGCUAGCGCAACAAGCUUUAGCUCACUCCAGUCAAUUAAUAAUUGAUAAAUCACUACAAGGCUGGAAGGAGGUAGAAUAUGAGGUUGUGCGCGAUGCAUAUGAUAAUUGUAUCACGGUAUGCAAUAUGGAAAACGUUGAUCCUCUCGGCAUUCAUACUGGUGAAUCAAUUGUCGUUGCGCCAAGUCAGACAUUGUCCAAUAAAGAAUAUAAUAUGCUACGAACAACGGCUAUUAAGGUCAUUAGACAUUUCGGCAUUGUCGGAGAAUGUAAUAUUCAAUAUGCACUCAAUCCUUUUUCCGAAGAAUAUUAUAUUAUCGAAGUGAACGCUAGAUUGUCUAGAAGCUCGGCUUUAGCUAGUAAAGCUACCGGCUAUCCUUUGGCUUAUGUCGCUGCCAAAUUAGCUCUUGGAAUACGUUUGUCGGAUAUUCGCAACUCUGUCACUGGAGAAACAACAGCUUGUUUUGAACCGAGUCUUGAUUAUUGUGUAGUUAAAAUACCCAGAUGGGAUCUAAGCAAAUUUCACCGUGUCAGCACCAAGAUUGGCAGUUCUAUGAAGAGCGUAGGUGAAGUAAUGGCGAUUGGACGUAAAUUUGAGGAAGCUUUUCAGAAGGCAUUGAGAAUGGUUAAUGAAAAUGUGAAUGGGUUCGAUCCUUAUGUGAAGACUAUCAACGAUGAGGAAUUAGAAAAACCGACCGAUAAAAGAAUGUUCGUUCUCGCUGCUUCGAUCAAAGCCGGUUACACGAUCGAUCGAUUAUAUGAACUCACCAAAAUAGAUCGCUGGUUUCUUGAAAAAAUGAAGAACAUUAUCGAUUAUUAUGUACUCUUGGAAAAUAUCGAUCGUACGAAACUUUCGCAUGACUUGCUGCUGGGUGCAAAGCAGAAUGGCUUCUCCGAUAAACAGAUUGCUGCCCUGGUGAAGAGCUCCGAAUUAGCUGUCAGAAUACAAAGACAGGAAAAUAAUAUUCGACCAAUGGUCAAGCAAAUUGAUACAGUCGCCGCUGAAUGGCCGGCCACUACAAACUAUCUUUAUCUAACGUAUAAUGGCACUAGUCACGAUGUAGAAUUUCCUGGCGGAUACACAAUGGUGAUAGGUUCCGGAGUGUAUAGAAUCGGCAGUUCAGUAGAAUUUGAUUGGUGUGCCGUGAGUUGCCUACGUGAAUUGCGAAAUCUUGAACGUAAAACGAUAAUGAUCAAUUAUAAUCCAGAGACGGUCAGUACAGACUAUGAUAUGAGUGAUAGAUUGUACUUUGAGGAGAUCUCCUUCGAAGUUGUAAUGGACAUUUAUGAUUGUGAAUGUCCAGAAGGUAUAAUAUUGUCAAUGGGUGGACAGUUACCAAAUAAUAUUGCUAUGGAUUUGCACAGACAGCAAGCUCGAAUACUUGGAACAUCGCCAGAAUCCGUCGAUGGCGCCGAAAAUCGUUUUAAAUUUUCUCGCAUGCUCGAUAGCAUCGGUAUAUCGCAACCAAGAUGGAAAGAAUUAACAAAUUUGAAAUCUGCUAUUGAAUUUUGUGACGAAGUUGGCUAUCCAUGUCUCGUUCGACCUUCGUAUGUGUUAAGUGGAGCCGCAAUGAAUGUUGCCUAUUCAAAUCAGGAUCUCGAGUCUUAUUUGAAAAGCGCGAGUGAAGUUAGUAAAGAACAUCCCGUAGUGAUAUCGAAAUUUAUUCUUGAAGCGAAAGAAAUCGACGUCGAUGCCGUCGCUUAUGAAGGAAUUAUAUUAUGCAUGGCAGUAUCUGAACAUGUUGAAAAUGCAGGUGUUCAUUCAGGAGAUGCCACAUUAGUAACGCCACCACAAGAUAUCAAUGAGCAAACUCUGGCGAAAAUAAAAAGUAUCUCAAAAGCAGUGGCGGCAUCCCUGGGAGUCACUGGUCCUUUCAAUAUGCAAUUAAUUGCAAAGGAUAACGAGUUAAAAGUGAUCGAGUGUAACGUAAGAGUAUCCAGAUCUUUUCCUUUCGUCUCGAAAACCUUAGAUCACGACUUCGUCGCGACGGCAACCCGUUUAAUCAUCGGCGAAACAAUUGAGCCUGUGGACGUUUUAGCUGGCUGUGGAAGAGUUGGAGUAAAAGUGCCGCAAUUUUCUUUUUCCCGUCUUGCUGGUGCUGAUGUGAUGCUGGGUGUUGAAAUGGUAUCCACUGGAGAAGUAGGCUGUUUCGGUGAAAAUCGCUACGAAGCUUAUUUGAAAGGCAUGAUAAGCACUGGUUUUCACAUUCCUCAAAGAGGUAUUUUGCUCUCUGUAGGAAGUUUUAAGCACAAAAUGGAAUUGCUUGGGUCUAUUAGGAAUUUGAAAAACAUGGGAUACAAAUUAUAUGCUAGCAUGGGUACUGCCGAUUUCUACACUGAACAUGGAGUCGAAGUAGAACCAGUACAAUGGACGUUUGAAAAUAUUGCCGUGAACGAAGAUUCUAGUCCGAGUGAGCUUCGACAUCUAGCUGACUUUUUGUCAAAAAAGCAAUUUGAUCUUGUUAUUAAUCUGCCAAUGAGGAAUGGUGGUGCUCGACGCGUUUCCAAUUUUAUGACGCAUGGUUAUCGGACAAGGAGACUAGCAGUUGAUUAUUCCGUACCUUUAAUUACGGAUGUUAAAUGUGCGAAGCUUUUAGUUGAGGCGAUGAGAAUGAUUGGUGGAAAAGCACCGCAGAUGAAAACCUAUAUCGAUUGUGUGUCGUCGCGCAGGAUGAUCAGACUACCCGGCCUCAUUGAUGUGCAUGUACAUACUCGUGAUCCUGGAGCGAUUCAUAAAGAGGAUUUUGCUUCUUGUACCGCGGCAGCGCUCGCCGGAGGCAUCACAAUGAUCUUUGCAAUGCCCAAUACCAAUCCAGCGGUAGUGGAUCAUCAAACUUUUGCCAUUGCCAAAGAACGAGCUGCAGCUGGUUCACAUUGCGAUUACGCGCUCUUUAUCGGCGCCUCAUCAGACAAUUAUAAUAUCAUACGAGAAAUAGCACCGCAUGCUGCUGCUCUGAAAAUGUAUCUAAACGAAACAUUUACGACACUUCGUCUCAUGGAUCUCACUGUUUGGAUCAAGCAUUUCGAAAGCUGGCCUAAAAAAUAUCCUUUAUGCGUGCACGCGGAAGGACAAACUACAGCUGCGGUCCUUUUGCUGGCAAGUUUACAUAAUAGACCGAUUCAUGUAUGUCAUGUAGCACGAAAGGAGGAAAUAGAAAUUAUACGCGCUGCCAAGGAACAUGGAUUGGCAGUUACGUGUGAAGUAUGUCCACAUCACUUAUUCCUUUGCCAAGAUGACUUGGAUCGGAUAGGCAGCAAAAGAGGUCAGGUAAGACCCAUUCUGGGCACAAAAGAGGACCAACAGGCUCUUUGGGAUAAUUUGGAUGUUAUUGAUUGCUUUGCAACCGAUCAUGCUCCACACACUGCGCAAGAAAAAACUUCUGAGAAACCACCGCCAGGAUUUCCUGGAUUAGAAACUAUGCUACCACUGUUACUUAACAGUGUGCAUGAAGGAAGAUUGACUAUGGAGGACAUUAUUGACAGAUUAUAUCGAAAUCCCAAAAGAAUUUUCGGUAUUCCUGAUCAGCGUAACACAUAUGUCGAAAUCGAUUUAGAUGACGAAUGGACCAUUCCGGAAGCAAUGCCAUUUAGCAAAUCAAAGUGGACGCCUUUUGCUGGUAUAAAGGUUCACGGUUCUGUGCAUAGAGUAGUUUUGAGAGGCGAGGUUGCUUACGUUGAGGGAAAAGUUUUGGUAAAUCCUGGAUUCGGUCAAAAUAUUAGAGAUAUACAAUACAAGACGAAAAUUCCACCAACGCAUCAUAUACCGAUGACAUCCAGCCAGUCCACAGAUGCCAUCUAUAAACCAUUGUCACUAUUGGACGGUCUUUUAUCGCCAAAUUAUGAAAAAUCUAACAUACAUGCUGAUCACGUCGCUGAUUUGUAUGAGGAGGAACGAAUUGAAUCAUUUACGCAUCCCCUACAACUGGCAUCGCACAAGUCGAGUGUACAUUUCGUGCUAGAUAGUGAAACAAGAGAUUCUAAAAUAUUAUCUUCUCAAAGGACUGUCUCACCAUUGCCAAUUAGCAAUGUCACCAGAUACAAAAGCGAUAGUAAUUCGAAUCUUCUUACGUCUGCUGUCGCAUCUGUUCCAACCGUCCAUGCAAGCAGCAGUCUAAUCGGACAUCAUAUACUUACUGUAGAUAUAUUUAACAAAGAAAUAUUAAAAGAUAUAUUUCAUCUUGCGGAGACUUUACGAAAUGCUAUUAGGAAAGAGCGACCGUUAGACCAUAUUUUAAAGGGAAAAAUUAUGGCUUCCAUCUUCUAUGAAGUCAGCACGAGAACAUCAUGCAGUUUUGCUGCUGCCAUGGAACGUCUUGGUGGUCGUGUGAUAUAUAUGGAUGGUUCUACAUCAUCAGUAAAAAAAGGAGAAACCUUAGAAGAUUCUAUAGCAGUCAUGGCAGGAUACGCGGAUGUGGUUGUACUCAGACAUUCGGAGCCAGGCGCAGUAGCUAGAGCAGCUCUACAUUGUAGAAAACCAUUGUUAAACGCUGGCGAUGGAGUUGGCGAACACCCAACUCAAGCGUUGCUCGAUAUUUUUACAAUUAGAGACGAAUUCGGAACUGUGAAUGGCCUUACAAUUACGAUGGUAGGAGAUUUGAAACACGGCAGGACCGUUCAUUCUCUUGCAAGAUUGCUGACUCUAUACAAUGUGGAGCUUCGCUACGUGAGUCCACCUGGCCUAGGUAUGCCAGAUCAUAUUAUUAAUUAUGUAGCCGAACGUCAAAUUUCCCAAGAAAAGUUUUCAACCUUGGAAGAUGCCUUACCCGAUACAGAUGUUCUUUACAUGACACGAAUACAACGUGAACGUUUUACUACACAAGAGGAAUACCAUCAGAUUUUGCUAAGGUUUGUUACAAAUUCUUAUCAGCAAAAAGGCCACAAUUUGCGUAUAAGUGCUAUUACAAAUUUUGAUGACAGCAAAAACCGAACAAAAUUUAUUGGCAAAACCUGAUCGCAAAUGGACAGCAAAAAGCAAGCAAAGCUUGCUAAUAUACUUGACAUCAAAUUGUCGGUAAAAAUCAAGCAAGAUCUGAGCAUGAAAGCAAUUGACAGCAAAUUGUCAACAAAUUGACUGAUACUAACAUAAGAUCCAAAGUACUUUUUGGUCAGUUUAAUUUUUGAUAAACUGACUUAAAAUAAUUUGUUUAAUAAUCUCCAUUCCUUCUGGAUUAUUGGAAUUCAGAAUAUUACCCAGAGAGCCAAGCUUAACAUAUUCAGCAAACAAAUGCAUUGCAUGUAUUAUUAUAUAUUUGCAGUAUGCUUGCUGACAUCGAAAUAUGCGUUACGAAUACAGCUAUAUGUCUGCUUCUACAUGCAAUCAAUUAAAGAAGCAAAUGGUCUGCAAUAUUGGUAUAUUACGUUGUCUACAACAUGUCAGCAUUAUGCUGACACGUUGCAAUCAAUUUGCUGUUAUUAGCACAUAAAUUCAUGUGAGUUCAACGUAACGGACAUAAUGUUGUUUCACCUCGUUUAUGGUUUAUUAAAAUUAGUUGCUUCAACAAUUAUUGGCAACAUCUCAGCAACCUCAUUGCAUUUUGCCUUCUGGAGUAAUAAAUAAAUUAUAUGAAAUUAAAUGAGUAAAUGGGAAAUAGUUAAUUUAUUGUGUG